Oreochromis aureus is the source of this 1334-nucleotide long non-coding RNA. RefSeq lists it as uncharacterized. Lineage: Eukaryota; Metazoa; Chordata; Actinopteri; Cichliformes; Cichlidae. The record is from RefSeq and is a predicted model, not a curated record. The transcript is spliced from 2 exons.
UACCAAAUGAGGUAAAUAAUAAUCUGCACCCACAGUUGUGCCCCGUCUCUCUCUAGUCCCAGCUACGAGUACCUCUCAGUGCCUUUGGCAGGCAUAUCGUUCAGCUCUGUGUUGGAAAGUGUGCUCGUUCGUGAGCGGUUAAGGAGAAACUCGAAGCAAAAGAGAUGUGCUGCUGCAAAUGUUUAUUGUUUUAUAUAGAAGUAUACUACAUUGAUUAUUACCCUUUCUACUUGUUCUGUCUCUUGACUUUUCUGUUCAGCGGGGCUUCACACAUGAAGUUGAUGGAAUAUCCGUUAGGUCGCCAGCUCAUUUUCAGUAACAGUUGGAGCAUUUCAGCUUGUACAAGGCAGUAUUUGUCAUGUAUGGUAACGUUCUCUAUUUUUAAAAAAUUAUUUGUCUACUCCUAAUAGUUUAAUUAUAAGAAUCCCAUGUUUGAAUUUAAUCUCUAAAAUUGACGAGCCCAUGUAUAAGGGCAUUCUUGGUAAAUUGUGUCACUUUGUUUUUGUCUACAUAAAUCUCCUUUUUAAAGUGUUUUGAAUUAAAGAACCUAACUUGUUUUGUGUUUUUUAAAAAAUUUUGUCUGAUAGUUAAAUAAAAUCCUGCAUAAAAUGAAUGUUAUAUACCCACCAGGAGUUCAGAAUUGUUCCCUAUGCAUGUUAGUCCUUGUUAAAGCUGUUUGCGUAUUCAACUGGACCGCAUGACUCAACAGAAGGAAAGUUCAUCGUUAUGAUCAUUUACUCAGGCUCUCAGUUUUUUGGUGUGUGUGUGUGUGUGUGUGUGCGCGCGCGUGUGCAACAAAAAACAUUGCACUUGUUUUUUUUUGUUGUUGUUUUUUUGUGUUUUUUUUUUUUUCCUUUCAUGUCAAGUUCACCUUGUGGUCUACACACUCAGGAUAUGCCCCAAAAAUGUCACUGCAAUGCAUAGAUCUCUUCGCUGUGUGGCAGGAGGAUUUAGUAACCUACUUGUUUUAAACUGGGUCAUAACACAAUCACUGGAAUAUAAAAUGCUGUAUAUCAUUGCAAUAGGUGAGUAUUCAGUUGGUAUCUCUUUUUGGAGAUGUUUCUGCUUUUGUUAAAACAGACAGACACUGACAUGUCUUCUUUGUAGGGGUAUACUCAGUGUAUUUCAAGCUACUCUCUACUCAGUGUCUCAGCCGACAUGUUGCUACCACUGGCUUCCAGCAGGCUUCUGUAGCCAAAGAACAUACAUGUAAUGUCAGCUUUGUCUUUUGAGAUUUUUCUUAUUACAUUUUUAUACAUCAUUAUAUAGGUUGAUGUGAUUUUUGAAAACCUGUUUUGUUAAAGGAUUAAUAAAGUCAGAUAUUUUCAACUGUC